Molecule: ribosomal RNA, 301 nt
Filed under: uncultured bacterium
Lineage: Bacteria
Description: partial 16S ribosomal RNA
Rfam family: Bacterial small subunit ribosomal RNA
Source: RNAcentral
CAGCAGCCACGGGAAUACGUAGGGUGCAAGCGUUAAUCGGAAUUACUGGGCGUAAAGCGUGCGCAGGCGGUUUGUUAAGACAGAUGUGAAAUCCCCGGGCUCAACCUGGGAACUGCAUUUGUGACUGGCAAGCUAGAGUGUGGCAGAGGGGGGUGGAAUUCCGCGUGUAGCAGCGAAAUGCGUAGAUAUGCGGAGGAACACCGAUGGCGAAGGCAGCCCCCUGGGCCAACACUGACGCUCAUGCGCGAAAGCGUGGGGAGCAAGCAGGAUUAGAUACCCGUGUAGUCCCUGUCUCUUAUAC